RNAcentral lists this long non-coding RNA (387 nucleotides) under Physcomitrium patens. RNAcentral describes it as "long non-coding RNA (PPAT_LNC006092)". The record is from RNAcentral. Lineage: Eukaryota; Viridiplantae; Streptophyta; Bryopsida; Funariales; Funariaceae.
GAUUAUGUAAUUGGAGCACUGAGUGAUUGAAUUAUAUGAAGAGUUAUUGGAAGAUUAUGAUUGUUAUUUAUUGAGAGCUCUGUGUGUUUUGACAGAAGAAGUUUGUGAUUACAAAAAUUAUGCGAAUUUAGAUUGUUGGAGUGAAGUCUAUUAUUUCUAGUGUUGGAUGGAAAUUAUUGUAUUUUGAGCGGUCUUUUGAGAGUGCAGGGUUGUACACUAUAGUUAUCAGUUGAUAAAGGAAUAUUGUUAAUGGGAGAAAGCAUUGUAGUAUUUAUUAGUAUUUUAGUGGUUUAGAAUAUGGUUAAUUGUGUGAUCCUAAUAAGUAAAACUCAUGCACUUAGUCUUUCCUUGUCUUUGAAUUCCCAUAUACAAGUUUAUUUAGAAAGA